This is a long non-coding RNA of Oncorhynchus keta (chum salmon), 997 nucleotides long. RefSeq lists it as uncharacterized. NCBI's taxonomy places the organism in Eukaryota, Metazoa, Chordata, Actinopteri, Salmoniformes, Salmonidae. The transcript has 4 exons. The record is from RefSeq and is a predicted model, not a curated record.
UAACAAUGUACAGGGAUACUGGAGUGAUGGAGGUAGAUAUGUAGAGGGGUAAACAUACUAUAUACAGGGUCAGUUCAUUACCAUAUUAACAAUGUACAGGGAUACUGGAGUGAUGGAGGUAGAUAUGUAGAGGGGUAAACAUACUAUAUACAGGGUCAGUUCAUUACCAUAUUAACAAUGUACAGGGAUACUGGAGUGAUAGAGGUAGAUAUGUAGAGGGGUAAACAUACUAUAUACAGGGUCAGUUCAGUACCAUAUUAACAAUGUACAGGGAUACUGGAGUGAUGGAGGUAGAUAUGUAGAGGGGUAAACAUACUAUAUACAGGGUCAGUUCAGUACCAUAUUAACAAUGUACAGGGAUACUGGAGUGAUGGAGGUAGAUAUGUAGAGGGGUAAACAUACUAUAUACAGGGUCAGUUCAUUACCAUAUUAACAAUGUACAGGGAUACUGGAGUGAUAGAGGUAGAUAUGUAGAGGGGUAAACAUACUAUAUACAGGGUCAGUUCAGUACCAUAUUAACAAUGUACAGGGAUACUGGAGUGAUGGAGGUAGAUAUGUAGAGGGGUAAACAUACUAUAUACAGGGUCAGUUCAGUACCAUAUUAACAAUGUACAGGGAUACUGGAGUGAUAGAGGUAGAUAUGUAGAGGGGUAAACAUACUAUAUACAGGGUCAGUUCAGUACCAUAUUAACAAUGUACAGGGAUACUGGAGUGAUAGAGGUAGAUAUGUAGAGGGGUAAACAUACUAUAUACAGGGUCAGUUCAGUACCAUAUUAACAAUGUACAGGGAUACUGGAGUGAUGGAGGUAGAUAUGUAGAGGGGUAAACAUACUAUAUACAGGGUCAGUUCAUUACCAUAUUAACAAUGUACAGGGAUACUGGAGUGAUAGAGGUAGAUAUGUAGAGGGGUAAACAUACUAUAUACAGGGUCAGUUCAGUACCAUAUUAACAAUGUACAGGGAUACUGGAGUGAUGGAGGUAGAUAUGUAGAGGGGUA